This 401-nucleotide long non-coding RNA is filed under the name Olea europaea subsp. europaea. The record is from RNAcentral. Lineage: Eukaryota; Viridiplantae; Streptophyta; Magnoliopsida; Lamiales; Oleaceae.
CUGAAAGUGGUGCUCAACCCACUACCGAGACAAUUAAUAUUAUCGUCGGGGCAUAGCAUCUGGAGGAGACACAAAUAGUGGGCGAAAACAGUAUGCUCGCCAACAUGCUCAUAUCCCAGGGAAAUCCCGUGAUGAAGUCAAAGACAUCACUUUUGGAGCAAGAGAUUUGGAAGGAAUAUCAUAUCUCCAUGACGAUGCCUUGGUCGUCUCUGCGGUUGUGGCUAACUUCGAAGUAAAGAGGAUACUGGUUGAUAAUGGGAGUGCAGCAAAUAUACUCUCGCAGGAGGCUUUCGUAAAAAUGGGGAUCUCUCCCAAACAACUCAAAGCAGUAAAAACUCCUCUACAAGGAUUUGGUGGUGGAGUCAUUAUCCCUGAGGGCAUCGUCGAGCUCCUACUUACAU